Canis lupus familiaris (dog) is the source of this 309-nucleotide long non-coding RNA. RefSeq lists it as uncharacterized. The transcript has 3 exons. NCBI's taxonomy places the organism in Eukaryota, Metazoa, Chordata, Mammalia, Carnivora, Canidae. The record is from RefSeq and is a predicted model, not a curated record.
CACACAUUGAGACUGAGACAGCCUCCUCUGCUUCAGGAGGAAGGACAAGAUCCAAACAAGAACAAAGGAAUGUGCCUUGUGCCUUCGAAAAAUGCCAUUGAAGCCCUUUUCAGAGACAACAGUUGCAAAAAGUAACAUGGAUUGAAUCACAAUGCAACGGAGAAGUCUGGGAUCACAGAAUGAAAGGUGGUUUAAUAUUGCCUUCUGGGCAGAGAAUUUCGUCUUGAUUACAAGCUGGCGAUUUAAGGUACCUGAGUGGCUCAGCAGUUGAGAGUCUGCCUUCUGCUCAGGGUGUGAUCCCAGGGUCCG